This 466-nucleotide ribosomal RNA is filed under the name Oxypiloidea tridens. RNAcentral describes it as "partial 16S ribosomal RNA". It matches the Rfam family "Bacterial large subunit ribosomal RNA", at positions 1858 to 2582 of the family's 2925-position model. Lineage: Eukaryota; Metazoa; Arthropoda; Insecta; Mantodea; Hymenopodidae. The record is from RNAcentral.
CCUGCCCACUGAAUUUUUUAAAGGGCCGCAGUAUUUUGACUGUGCAAAGGUAGCAUAAUCAUUAGUCUUUUAAUUGAAGGCUGGUAUGAAUGGUUGGAUGAGGUGAAUUCUGUUUUAUAUUAGUUAUAAUAGAAUUUAGAUUUUAAGUGAAAAGACUUAAAUGUAAUUAAGGGACGAGAAGACCCUAUAGAGUUUUAUAAAUGUAGUAAAUUAAUUAGGUUAUUUAAAAAUUUUUUGUUAUUAUGAAAUUUAUUUGAUUGGGGUGAUUAGAAAAUAUAAAGAACUUUUCUUUAAAUUAAAUAUUAUAAUUAGUUUAAUGAUCCAUAAUUGAUGAUUAAAAGAUUAAAUUACCUUAGGGAUAACAGCAUAAUUUCUUUUGAGAGUUCAUAUCGAAAAAGAAGAUUGUGACCUCGAUGUUGGAUUAAGAAUAAUUUUAGGUGUAGAAGUUUAGAAAUUAGGUCUGUUC